AAAUAGACCAUGUGUGUCCUUAACUUUUUGUUUUGUUUUUUUGCCUUUCUUUUGAAUCUCCUUAAAACAACACACUCCCUUUUUAGUCAAAAUGAAUGUCAAGACAGGUUUCUGCUGUCUAUUAAGAUACUAUUCAGGCUUCCUUUUAUUUACCUGUUCAAUAUGUAAACUAAACAGCAAGAACUCAUGAACAGAAUAUGCAGCAAGACAACGUCAAAGCAAGUUCCUUAAGAAUGGAGUAAAUAACUGCAUCUGUAACAGGCAGAUUUGGUGCUGAACAGAGUGCAGAAAACCUUGCGAGGCGGUUUAAAGCAAUACUGCUGUAAAAAUCACUGCACGACUCAAUUCUUUUGUCAAGGUCAAGACCUACCUUUAAUGAAUGAAGCCAGCCUGAAUGGAAAAACACUGCAUAACAAACUGCUUUGAAAGACAGGCCAGCUGAUGUCUAAAUAUUGGACUAACGUGCAGUACUUCUAGGUUAUUUGCUGGUGUUUGCUAUGUGACAAAUAGUCAACCACUCUGGCAAGAGCACUUUGGCAACUGUGAGCUUCCAACACAUGCUCUCUUAAGGAAUCAUGGGGAUGGAAGUCUUAUCUAUAGAUGGCGUUUCACUGCUGUCUAUCCCGAAAGGAAGAGGAUUGAAAAGAAAAACAAACUAUGCACACUCCCUCUUUUCUAGAAAAAUUGCUGCAAUCUGUAUCACCAGCUCUGAGAAAAUAAGUAUCUGUCAGAUUGAGCUGAAAAGUGAGCAACUAAAUAAGGGCUUUUAACAAUUUAAUUUAUAAGCCCACAACAAAUAGCUACCUGUUCAGAACAACUGCUACACGAGGAAGGAGUUCUACAAUUUCCAGAUCUCCUUCCAUACUUCUAGUAUAAGAAAUUACUUAUCAGAUCAUAUCAUUUGUAAGUGUACAACUUUCACAAAGGAGAUUGUGUCAUGUUGCUCAGACGAAGAAAAUAUUAAAUAAUCACCGGCCAUAGUUUCUAAAAAUAUUCUGGAACACAAGUUGGUCAAGUGUGAAAAUGUAAAACAAAUCAAGCUCAGCACAUUGGUGAAAAGUUGUACUAUUUCAGCAGUUUACAAUUUUUUAAUUACUGAGUUUUGUUAAUACCCUGAAAAAAAUCUACCAAAUAAGCUACUCAGAAACAAAGGGAAAGUGUCAGUUUUACAGUUAACAUUCCAUCUACUCUGUACACUGUGAUUCUACAUUGCAACCAUCUCCCUUUCAUCACCCACUCUCCAUGUAUCGCCAACCUGCACAUCAAUAACACAGCCUCACAGGAGAUUCUCUCAUAAGAUUUUGAUGAUUGAUGUAGGCUGGGUAAGGUUUUCAGAAUUUUGUUUACUGACAGUUGUGUCCUGUCCUAAUCCAUUAAUUAUUCUGGACAUUUAUUCUGGUAAAUUAUUCAUAAUAUUAGUUAUUCAGGAUCAAAUACUAAUACUUGUGUGGAAAUUACAGAGCUUAAAUCAGGAGGGUGAAUAUAUCAGUGUUUAGUAAAAGUGCAGACUGAUAUUUCAAAGGAUGAAAUAUGCAUAGUUUUAUGGCUGAAAGAGAAAUUAUUAAAUCUGAGAAAAGUAAAUUGGGGUGGUUGAAAAUAGUUUGUUAAAACACUUAUGUCUGUGCUGUCUACAGUUUAUGUUGGAUUGUGUGGUUUGCCUCCCUUAAAUCAAUGCUGUAAUCGAGAGUUUCUCAAUACUCACUGUAAUAUGGUUCUGCUACUCAUUAAGGGUAAGAAAACUGCUGUCACAACGGUUGAAAAUGUCUCAUUUGAUCAAGUAUCUCAGCUAUUACAGGGCUGGCUCUAGGCACUCUAUACCCUCCUUUAUAUACCUGGUUACUUCUGGAUUAUUUCUUUUCAGAUGACUUGAGGAUUCACUUGGAAGCAACUGCACCCUUACUGUCAAUUCUUCCCAGGUGACAGCUUCACUUUGUAGAUCAAUUAUUAAGAUAGAAGAAGUGCUCAUUAUGGUACUCACAAAUGGUAUUGCACUCCAGAAUCAAAGAAAAUCAGAAUGUAAAGACAUUUUUUUCUUAAUCAACUGGUCAAUAGAAGAAAACCAUUUUUUGUUUCUGCCAACUCUUUUGUAUCUGGAAGUGAGAUAAUAAAAACAGCUAUAUCAGAA
Pogoniulus pusillus (Red-fronted tinkerbird) is the source of this 2125-nucleotide long non-coding RNA. RefSeq lists it as uncharacterized. The transcript has 3 exons. NCBI's taxonomy places the organism in Eukaryota, Metazoa, Chordata, Aves, Piciformes, Lybiidae. The record is from RefSeq and is a predicted model, not a curated record.